CCUACGAGUGGCAGCAGUGAGGAAUAUUGGUCAAUGGGCGCUAGCCUGAACCAGCCAAGUCGCGUGAAGGAUGACUGCCCUAUGGGUUGUAAACUUCUUUUAUAUGGGAAUAAAGUGCAGUAUGUAUACUGCUUUGCAUGUACCUUAUGAAUAAGCAUCGGCUAACUCCGUGCCAGCAGCCGCGGUAAUACGGAGGAUCCGAGCGUUAUCCGGAUUUAUUGGGUUUAAAGGGAGCGUAGGCGGGUUGUUAAGUCAGUUGUGAAAGUUUGCGGCUCAACCCUAAGAUUGCAGUUGAUACUGGCAGCCUGGAGUACAGGAGAGGUAGGCGGAAUUCGUGGUGUAGCGGUGAAAUGCUUAGAUAGCACGAAGAACUCCGAUUGCGAAGGCAGCCUGCUGGACUGUAACUGACGCUGAUGCUCGAAAGUGUGGGUAGCAAACAGGAUUAGAUACCCGGGUAGUC
This 460-nucleotide ribosomal RNA is filed under the name uncultured bacterium. Its description in RNAcentral is "partial 16S ribosomal RNA". It matches the Rfam family "Bacterial small subunit ribosomal RNA", at positions 338 to 795 of the family's 1533-position model. The record is from RNAcentral.